AUGCAAGUCGAACGGUAGCACAGAGGAGCUUGCUCCUUGGGUGACGAGUGGCGGACGGGUGAGUAAUGUCUGGGGAUCUGCCCGAUGGAGGGGGAUAACUACUGGAAACGGUAGCUAAUACCGCAUAACGUCGCAAGACCAAAGUGGGGGACCUUCGGGCCUCACACCAUCGGAUGAACCCAGAUGGGAUUAGCUAGUAGGUGGGGUAACGGCUCACCUAGGCGACGAUCCCUAGCUGGUCUGAGAGGAUGACCAGCCACACUGGAACUGAGACACGGUCCAGACUCCUACGGGAGGCAGCAGUGGGGAAUAUUGCACAAUGGGCGCAAGCCUGAUGCAGCCAUGCCGCGUGUAUGAAGAAGGCCUUCGGGUUGUAAAGUACUUUCAGCGGGGAGGAAGGUGGUGAGGUUAAUAACCUCAUCAAUUGACGUUACC
This 435-nucleotide ribosomal RNA is filed under the name Pantoea sp. A37tronco3. RNAcentral's name for it is "bacterial SSU rRNA". It matches the Rfam family "Bacterial small subunit ribosomal RNA", at positions 55 to 479 of the family's 1533-position model. The record is from RNAcentral. Lineage: Bacteria; Pseudomonadati; Pseudomonadota; Gammaproteobacteria; Enterobacterales; Erwiniaceae.